RNAcentral lists this ribosomal RNA (723 nucleotides) under Triticum aestivum (bread wheat). RNAcentral describes it as "partial small subunit ribosomal RNA". Lineage: Eukaryota; Viridiplantae; Streptophyta; Magnoliopsida; Poales; Poaceae. The record is from RNAcentral.
AUGCUUAACAAGGAGAUCAAUGGUGAGCAUGAUAAUGAACCUGAUCCUGAUGAUGGUACUAGUGAGUUUGUCCUGGAAUCUGGAAACAAGACGGAAGUGGAGAUGGAGCUGAGAAUUGACUCCACAGUUCUGAAAUGUGAACCUGAUCCUGAUGACUCCUCUAGCUCUAUUCAAAACCAGGUGGUGUGCAUUGAUGGGAAGCACAUGGGAGAACCUGAUCUGGAUGCUAGUACCUGUGGAGCUGUUCUGAAACCUGGAAAUAAGAUUCGAGCGGAGAUUGGUCAGAGCAGAAAACACUCAGUUUUGGAGUCUGAACCUGACCCUGACGAUCAUGCUGCUAAUUUAAAGAGAGAUGAGCUGCAAAGAAUAGAAGAGCCAGUGGCAGCCCUCUGUUCGUGUCUCCAGAAGGCUAUUGAAAUGCUUCGGUCGCAAGCUACACCUUCAGAGGCAUCCUCUGCACUUCAAACACUCUUCAAAAUUAUCAAGAAUGUGAUAGAGAACCCAAAUGGCAUUCGAUAUAGAAGAUUGCGCAAGACCAAUCUGCAUUUCCAAAGGAGCGCGGCGAAUUACAAAGCUGCGAUGGAGGUCCUCGAGUUGAUUGGCUUCCGCGAGGAUGUGGUCUCGGAUGAGAUUGGGCGUGCGGAGACCUACCUGGUUCUGAAAAGGAAGGAUCCUGUGUUGCUGUGGCUUGCGAAGUCCUCUCUUGAAGUAUCCAUGGCUUGA